Anopheles stephensi (Asian malaria mosquito) is the source of this 4070-nucleotide long non-coding RNA. RefSeq lists it as uncharacterized. Lineage: Eukaryota; Metazoa; Arthropoda; Insecta; Diptera; Culicidae. The record is from RefSeq and is a predicted model, not a curated record. The transcript has 2 exons.
UUCAUUGUUUUUUUCGUUGUUGUUAUUGUUGUUGGUUUGUUGCCCCAUCCACCCCCCUCGCCCUCCGCCAUUCAUACAAUCCUCACUAAAUAAUGGUAGCCAUGCGAUGGAAGCGUUCAGGCAGAGCGGGCGUACAGAUUGAGCGUAGCCACACACGACGAAUUGAGGCACUGGUUCGGAAGGAAGGCUAAAAUAGAUAUCGGGUCCAGAUCGGGCGAAGGGUUUUGAAGCGGCCACCGAGUGCCGGAGCUAUCGUAGGCUAAGGGCCUAGGCCAGCAAUAACGCACACAGGACCGUUUCGCCUCGCCUGUGUGGCUGUAUCUGUGUGGGUGGGAGAGAAGCUCAGAAGUAGCACGGUCAGGCUGCAGGUGUAGCAGGUUGCCCGACACACCGAAAGCGUUCAGUCAUCUUCUGGCGCACAAGGCGUCGCUAAUGUUUUGGUUGUCUGGAUGGUGUGCACGGUUUUUAAGGUUCCUUCGCUUUCUAGCUGGUGUUGAAUACUGGAUAGAUAUUCGGGGACAGCUGGGAAAGCACGGGACGAGGGCUCUGUAACAGGAGUUUUUGUUUUCUUUCCUUCGUUAGAGUGUGUUUAUUUACUUAUUUUAUCGUGUAGAUAUAUGUGUGUGUGUGUGUAUGUGUGUACGUUCGGGGCAGAGUGAACCUGCCGAACCUGGAGAGGUGUGUGCAGGUGGAGGGCAAGCGCGCGCGCGCGUGUUUGUGUGUAUGUGUCUGAUUGGAGUGUGUGCUAUUCUGUUUGGGGGAGAACAAAAACACUGGAGUGGAGUUGUUUGGGCAUCGUAAGAAUGGUCUGAAUGUUGUCCAGGUAGGCACAGGAUGAUACACCAGACCGUUUGGGUGCUGUAGGCUCCACUAGUUGGAAGGAAGACUCGGAAGUCUCCAAAGUACCUCCCUGUCACGAACUUGUAAGAUCGGUUCCGUUGCAAGAGGAUCAACUACGAGAUAUGUGUAGUGCUAAGGGUGUGUUAUUAUUGCACGGUUGGUGAGCAGAAUGCAGCCGUGCAGGCGUGCAGUGGCCGUGGUGCGGUGUGUGAGUAAAGUUUGGCCGCAGGCGAACCGUGCCUGAACAGCACUGGCAAAACUGGAUGCAGUGGCAAGAUUUGGCAGUGCGAAUCCGACGACGACCCGACGACGACCAAAGCAGUAACGCAAAACCCGUUUUCGGAACAAAUCUCAGGACUUCAAUCAAUCAAGCGAUCCCGAAUCAACCCCGGGCCGCUCAUCGUCACACAUUGCGGCCGGCGUGUGUAAAUGUGUGCCUGUUUGGGCGCUUGUACACGCCACCACCACCAUCAUCAGCACUACCUGCAAACAGCGUCGUAGAUUGACAGGUUUCGACUGAAUCGACCGUGCCGCGCUAUACGGACGAGGCGCAACCGCAUGCCGAACGUGCGCUGAGGGCGAGCCGUUACCAUAGAUGCUCGCCCACCGUCACCCUACCGCAAGGUAAGUACACCAGAUGUGUCUACGGCACACAGCGACGUGCGCCAGACAACGGGAGCCCAACGAGUGCCCGAAAGGCCCUAGCCUGCAUUCCGGAACCACUCGACUGAAAUGCUUGCCGGUUUCUGCUCCGUUCUGGUACUGUCUUCUCCCGUACGCCUAGCAUUCGUUACUGUGGCUUUCCUUUAAAUGGUGCACGGGGAAACGCGUUGCCAGUGUUUUAGUGUUCGAGCAUCCUUUAUCCUUACUGUGUGUAUCGUCUCAUGCAAUAACGUCCCACCACUUUAACCUAGAUAGGACUUUAAUUUGGUGAAGAAGAGAGAUUUGUAUGUUAUUCGGGGCGAUUUUUUGUUGUUCAGUGAAGUGCAGUUUCGCAUGCUUUAAGGCGACGUUCGGAAGGAAUGUUUACUUUGCUUAUUUGAUACAGAAUACAGAAGUCCUCGAUACAGCUCCAGGUUGAGCGUUGUCGUCUGGCUAUACAAUAUUUGGACCCAUCACCAACUAGAUUGCUAGAUUUUAUCAUGGAGCCUUCCAAGCCUGCACCUUCUCUGUCCAUGUGGUGACGGCCUUAAAAGACUGUGCUCUUCCCGUGAGAAGAACAGCCCACCAGAAAAGUUACCAGGCUUCUCAAGAAUUUCCCACAUACCGGUGACGACAGUUUCACUGGAGCUUACCAGGAACGCGGCAAAGAACAAUUAGCGUUAAUUUUCCAAACAGGGCCGUUACGUCAGUACUGCGCAUUGAAAAGUUUUUAACACAGUCGGAGCUUCAUCUGCCUCGCGACCGGUGCUUUUUUUUCCGGUGUGGCGGAGUGUCUCCUCCAGACUGUAGCCAUUGCUUAACCUCUUUGUUUGGUGUCGGUGCUAGACGGGUUGACCUAAGAGAGGGGUGCUUGUUUAAGACUACUUUAAGGAUCAAUCCGACGGACGGAUGCACCAAACUUUGAUAAGAUGUUUGUCUAUAAUAAGGGAUUCUUAAACCAAUGCUAUCUAUGUCAUCAGUGUAUGACUAGGUCAGGAAGUGAUUCUAGUGUCUUGUAGAACUCUCGUUUAGUAGGCUUCUUCUAGAGUAGGCGAGCCUUUAACAAAUGCUAUCUAUGUCAUCAGCGGAUGUCAGGAGUUCUUCCUCCUGGAAUAUUGGAUGAAUCUCUCUCGCUUCUUCUUUGACUUUACAACCACUGGUAGGUCCUUGACUUAGUUUGGAGACGAGAGAAGAUUCUGACGGGACUCGAAAUUUGGUCCUGUCCCUUCCUGGCGCUUUAGGUGCUGAGUGUUUUCCUAUCCCCUUUGACCCUGUCAGGCUGACAAGUCUCGUACUCCUUGGCGCGGGUUCCUUUGAAAAUCCUAAAAGAUCUCGGUCUGCCAUUACUGGCGUUCUUGGCGCACAGCGGCUAUACGGUCCUGCCACAGGGAAUCGUUUCAGCAAACCUUGGUGGCCUUGAAACGAUUGAAGAUCCGCUGGAGAUUGCAGUCUUGCACAAGAUUUGCGUAGAUCUGAUGACUCCUUCCGUUUCGGAACCUCUCACUGAUAGUUUUCCAACUAUUUUUUUAAAGAGUUGGGACAACAAAUUGAUCCUGUUGUGCAUAAAGUGGUUUCCUCGAAACUCGAACUAAUUUAGUGACUGAUAAAAACCAAUUCUUGCCUUCUUGAAUAUGAACAUUACGUAAGCCAUACGUUUGUCUCACCGACCGUACCGGCCGGUACGCUACAAUAUCUAACCGCGCUGCCAAUGUCAAGUUGAUUGCGCGUGCAUGCGUGUCCGAUAUUAUUAUUAUUUGCCAAUGCUUAUUGUUUGGCGAGGAUUUUAAACCCCUUUUACAGUCCAGGCCGUUUGGUUUUGCGUCGAUACUCGUUUGGGGUGGUUUUUUGUUUUGUUUCAUUCGCUCUCUCGCCCAGAUGCCCCGACCCUUUCAACGUCCUCACGGUACGCCACCAGUAGGCAAUUGACCACCCGUCGUUAGCAAUUGGCGAGCAAUGGGUGUAAUUUAUUUUUUAUGCAAAUAAUCCAAUCGAAAAUUCCCGCUCACUGUGGGUGUGUGUGUGUGUGUGUGUGUGUGUGUGUGUGUGUGUGUGUGUGUGUGUGGAGUAGCAGGUACUCCACCAUAAACCCCCUAUCGAACCCGUUCCCUGACGGCCGCUGAUUGACAUCGUACGGUGUGGCCAAACGGAUCGAUCGCAAGCACAGGUAGGUGGGGAGGAGGAGGAGGAGGAGGAGGAAAAAAAUAGAAAGAAAACAGUGAGCGAAUCGAUGGACGAAUGUAAUGGAUGGAUCGAUCAGCGGGGUUGGUUUGGUGCCCGGUAAAGGGAAAGAAAAUUUGCGACGAAAACAAAUACCCAAUAUUGCUGGACAUGUGGGUAAAGCGCAACGGCAAUGGUACGGUGCCGGAGGGAAGGGAAUACAACAGAAGACGAGGACGGAGGGGGGGAGGGGGGGAGGGGGCAACAGAAGAACAAAAGAAAAAAUCGAUCAAACGUAUAUUACCAUGCACGGGUCAGGUUGCAUGGAGCGUGUACACAGCAGCUUCAUGCAUAUAUUUAAUCGAACCAACCACUCGGACCGUGUUACCGUGAAAGGAAAACAACAUUGAGCAACAAAACCAACAAAAAAA